GUAACAAGGUCUCCGUUGGUGAACCAGCGGAGGGAUCAUUAAAGAGAGCCUAAAAAACUCCCGCAAAACCCCAUGUGAACAUACCAUACGUUGCCUCGGCAGGCCCCAGACGCGCCUAGCGCGCGCACCCCCAGGGGGGGCGCGGCUGGGACCUGCCGGCGGCCCAAGCAAACCCUGUCGUCACUGAAUUCUGAGCCCGCAUGUAGGAAAUUAAGUUAAAACUUUCAACAACGGAUCUCUUGGUUCUGGCAUCGAUGAAGAACGCAGCGAAAUGCGAUAAGUAAUGUGAAUUGCAGAAUUCAGUGAAUCAUCGAAUCUUUGAACGCACAUUGCGCCCGCCAGUAUUCUGGCGGGCAUGCCUGUUCGAGCGUCAUUUCAACCCCUUAAGCCCCUGUUGCUUAGCGUUGGGAGCCUACGGCCCGCCGUAGCUCCUCAAAGUUAGUGGCGGAGCCGGCCCGCACCCCAGGCGUAGUAGUUCAGUCAGCUCGCCCGCGGUCGGACCAGUCCCCUGCCGUAAAACACCCCAUUCUCGCAAGGUGACCUCGAUCAG
Molecule: ribosomal RNA, 550 nt
Filed under: Nodulisporium sp. AX76
Lineage: Eukaryota; Fungi; Ascomycota; Sordariomycetes; Xylariales; Xylariaceae
Description: eukaryotic LSU rRNA
Rfam family: 5.8S ribosomal RNA (bases 220-373)
Source: RNAcentral